RNA transcript from Triticum aestivum (bread wheat), 1999 nucleotides. RefSeq lists it as uncharacterized. The transcript has 3 exons. The record is from RefSeq and is a predicted model, not a curated record. NCBI's taxonomy places the organism in Eukaryota, Viridiplantae, Streptophyta, Magnoliopsida, Poales, Poaceae.
CUCCGCUCCUUCCUCCCAAACCCCAACUGCCCCGAUUCAGAUCCCCCUUGCAGCCGCACCUCUCCCUCUCUGCCACACCUCUCCCCUCGCCGCCGCCUCCCUCUCCGCCACCCACCUCUUCCCUCGCCACCGGUCUGCCACAUCCGGCACCGUCGAGGCCAGUGGGCGCUGGAUCCGGCACCGGCAUGGCCCCUCCAUCAGCAACUCGAACAGGGGGGCUGCGGCGCCAUGGCUUCCUCCAACCCCAUGGCGUGGGCCCGAGUCACACGCUGGCCUCGGCUGGGUCCCGGGCGAGCAGCCGGGCGGGAUGAUGCUGAUGGCGCUGCGUCUGCGGCCCCCGACCAUCCCGCCGGCGCUACGGCCCGCGGAGGCGGCCGCCCGCAAGGUGUUGCUACGACUACACCCAACGGAGGAGGCAGAGCAGUGCCGGCACAGGGUCCAGAUCGAGGCGGGGUCCUUCUUCCUCCGUGUGCUUCUGUUCGGACGCCAUGUGAGUGCUAGAGAGGCCACAACGCAGCUGCUCCCACGUCAAGGUCGGUUCUAUGCCUUCGAGAAGGCCCAUCGCCUCGACCCCACCUCCAGCGGCGCUGGAGUUCACCUUGUCGGCCGACAACUACAGGCUCAUGGAGGAGGUCUGCUUCGGUGCAAAGAGAAAAUGUGUUGUGGAUGUGUCCAGCUGGUCUGUGUUAAGCUGGGAAGAUCCAUCCAUUUAUAGCUUUUUAUAUUUUAUUACAGUGAAAAUGGCAGUACUAGCUUCAGUAGCAUCAAGCUUUAGGUUUCUUCUUACUGGAGUUACCAAUGGCUGACAGGUUUUUAUAUACUCAAUCCUGCAAUUUCUGUUACAGAUUUUCAGCUUGAUCCACUAUUUUGGUCAGUGAUUUGCAUUACCCUCGCCGCUGCUCUGCUCUGUACAUACGUAACCUAGGACUCUUAUCUAAUCAGGGGCACUCUUUGGUUGCUAUUCUACAAUUAUUAGUUUCACAAAACUGCUUGUAACUCCUCUAGAAGCACUGCAGUUUGCGGUCUCUAGGAUGGUUUGUCCUCACUGCAUAUGCUGCUGUGAUUUAAUUUGACUUGGUAACAAUGGCUGUCAAACAAUCAAACACAAGCAAAUUAAAUGCUUUCUAGUAUUCCGUAUAGUGCUUGCUAUGCAGUGCAUAGUUUUGAAUGGUUGAAUUAUACAGAGCUCUCCAUGCCCAAGAUGAAAAAUUCUCGCUGUCAAUCUGUUUGAUGCUAUCAUUUUCUUACCAUUAUAUUAUAUGUGCCGCUCAACAUUCAACCUACUUUAAUCUGUACUAGUAUUCAGUUUGUACCUCAUCUAGCACACUGCCUAAAAUUGCCACUAUUCUUUUAAUGAAUUUAGUAGAAUUGCCUUGUGAUUCCUCUGUUUGCUUCAUAUUAUGGUUGCUCUACUGCUAGUGUCUUACUAGCUUGUUAUGGCUCAUCGUGUUCCUGCUUGUAGUUGAUUUUUCAUCUGCCUAAGUAUAUUUGUAGUACAUGUGCAAGCAAACAUUUGAACUCAAGCCCAUCCAUCCUUUGUACUGUACUAUACUAAAGAAGUAAUGUAGAUGAAUAUACAUGCAGUUUUAUUAAGUGAAUGCCAUGCAAAACAACUAACUUGCUCUUGUACAUGUAGAUGGAGUAGGAGGAUAAGCAGCAGCAAAAAAUGAGCCUGAUGGUGAAGAAGCAGCUGAUGACCAGAACUCCUUCAAGUGCUCUUUAGUCAUUCCAAAACAAGGAGCUCCAGGCCUAAUUUUCUUGGAGUGUGAAGCCGUGAAGCCAAGUGCGAAUCAGUGAAGCCCUACUUAGCAAAGAGUUUUUUGAUUCUGUAGUAGACUGUAAAUUGUAAUAUUGUAAUAGAUUGUAAAAGACUAAUGUAGUGUUAUUUGAUGAAUUAUAUUUGUCCCGUCCUAUUUGAAAUAGUGAUUAUGUAUGUUAAAAAUAUGUGAAAUGGAAACUUGACGAGCGGGACCAAUUUAUGUCCCACUUAUGAAUAUAA